Molecule: ribosomal RNA, 694 nt
Filed under: uncultured bacterium
Lineage: Bacteria
Description: bacterial SSU rRNA
Rfam family: Bacterial small subunit ribosomal RNA
Source: RNAcentral
GGAUAACGUUUGGAAACGAACGCUAAUACCGCAUGAUAUUAUCUUAUCGCAUGAUAGGAUGAUCAAAGGAGUGAUCCGCUGAAAGAUGGGCUCGCGUCCGAUUAGGUAGUUGGUGAGGUAACGGCCCACCAAGCCGACGAUCGGUAGCCGGACUGAGAGGUUGGACGGCCACAUUGGGACUGAGACACGGCCCAGACUCCUACGGGAGGCAGCAGUAAGGGAUAUUGGUCAAUGGGGGAAACCCUGAACCAGCAACGCCGCGUGAGGGAAGACGGUUUUCGGAUUGUAAACCUCUGUCCUCUGUGAAGAUGAUGACGGUAGCAGAGGAGGAAGCUCCGGCUAACUACGUGCCAGCAGCCGCGGUAAUACGUAGGGAGCGAGCGUUGUCCGGAUUUACUGGGUGUAAAGGGUGCGUAGGCGGCUAUGCAAGUCAGUAGUGAAAUCCAUGGGCUUAACCCAUGAACUGCUAUUGAAACUGCACAGCUCGAGUGAAGUAGAGGUAGGCGGAAUUCCCGGUGUAGCGGUGAAAUGCGUAGAGAUCGGGAGGAACACCAGUGGCGAAGGCGGCCUACUGGGCUUUAACUGACGCUGAGGCACGAAAGCGUGGGUAGCAAACAGGAUUAGAUACCCUGGUAGUCCACGCUGUAAACGAUGAUUACUAGGUGUGGGGGGACUGAACCCUUCCGUGCCGGAG